This 512-nucleotide ribosomal RNA is filed under the name uncultured bacterium. RNAcentral describes it as "partial 16S ribosomal RNA". It matches the Rfam family "Bacterial small subunit ribosomal RNA", at positions 28 to 507 of the family's 1533-position model. The record is from RNAcentral.
GAUGAACGCUGGCGGCGUGCCUAAUACAUGCAAGUCGAACGAAACUUCUUUAUCACCGAGUGCUUGCACUCACCGAUAAAGAGUUGAGUGGCGAACGGGUGAGUAACACGUGGGCAACCUGCCCAAAAGAGGGGGAUAACACUUGGAAACAGGUGCUAAUACCGCAUAACCAUAGUUACCGCAUGGUAACUAUGUAAAAGGUGGCUAUACUACCGCUUUUGGAUGGGCCCGCGGCGCAUUAGCUAGUUGGUAGGGUAAAGGCUUACCAAGGCAAUGAUGCGUAGCCGAAUUGAGAGGUUGAUCGGCCACAUUGGGACUGAGACACGGCCCAAACUCCUACGGGAGGCAGCAGUAGGGAAUCUUCCACAAUGGGCGAAAGCCUGAUGUAGCAACGCCGCGUGGGUGAAGAAGGUCUUCGGAUCGUAAAACCCUGUUGUUAGAGAAGAAAGUGCGUGAGAGUAACUGUUCACGUUUCGACGGUAUCUAACCAGAAAGCCACUGCUAACUACGUG